CGGGUAGCUCAGUUGGUAGAGCAGCGGACUGAAAAUCCGCGUGUCGGGGGUUCAAGUCCCCCCCCA
Molecule: transfer RNA, 66 nt
Filed under: human gut metagenome
Rfam family: tRNA
About the family: Transfer RNA (tRNA) molecules are approximately 80 nucleotides in length. Their secondary structure includes four short double-helical elements and three loops (D, anti-codon, and T loops).
Source: RNAcentral